AUGGAGAGCGAGCAGGUGAAGCGGCGGUUCGGGCGGUGCCCCUACUGCCGCGCCAUGAUCUACCAGGACCCGCAGGCCGUCAUCUACUACUGCAGCAAGUGCCGCACGCCCAUCCGAGGCAAGAACCCGGAGCCCACGGACGACACCGAGUACUCGCUGGCGCAGCUCGAGAUCCUCUCCUUCGACACCAUGUCCACCUACUCCGACGAGACGGAUCCGCCCAAUGGCGGAAACCUCGAGCCGGGCAGCCGGGACAACGGGGUCGCGUCCUCCUCGUCCGCGUACCGGCCCUACAGCGCGAUCAGGACCGGUCCAAGGAGCGGCGAUCUGGGCCGGCACGACGAAGCGGAUCAGGUUCGGCGAAGCGGGUCGCCGCUCCACAGCCGCGUGAGCGAGCUCCGGCCGGCGUCCCGGAGGACCAGGCGGCCGGCGAGCGCUGACCUCGACGCGCCCAAGGACGGAGGCGGCGAGUUCGACGUGCCGCGGACGAGGUCGGCCUCGUCCUACGGCCGCCGGGCGUCGCCGCUCAACUCGCAGGAACUCGAGGCGGCGAUGGGCAUGGUGGGGGAUGGACCGGCCGCUGGUGUGGCCUCGAGAUCGCCGCUGGCUGACCCGGGGUUCCAGCAGAACCUCCUGCACGCUCUCGAGAACCUCCGGAAGCUCAUCGUCGCCGUCGAGGAGCCGCUCAGAGUCGACGCGCCCCGGCUCGCUCCUGGUGUGCCUCCCAAGAGCGCGCCUGGCAGCAACAGCGCCCCUCAGAAAGUCACGCGGCGCGACUCCCGCAUCCUGCGCCGCCUCGAGUCGCAGCUCGCCCAGGCAUUGCCGGCCACCGACAGCGGCCGGCGCCUUGGCAAGCCCAACACCUCGUCGUCAUUGUCUUCGUGGAUGUCCGCGUCGGCGUCGGCAUUGGCACCGGUGUCGGAACCGGCAUCGGCAUCGAGCAGCCGGCGCGGGGCGUCGGCGAGGCACCUAAUCUGCCGCCCGGUCAUGGGCGGCACGCCGUUCGUCCUCUGCGACAAGUGCGAGGAGAUACUGCUGCUACCGGCCGGCCUAUCUGUAGACAAAUUCGCCAGGCUGCAGUGCGGCGGCUGCGACGAAAUGCUCGAGGUGACGCUGCCGGCGAGGGGCGGCGGCUCGACGACGGACCGGCCGAGGAAGAUAUUCUCCGCGCCGCAGCCAGCUGGUUUUGGCGCCGACGACGCGGAGGAGCAGAACACGCGUGCAACUGCGAGGAGCCGUUUGAGCGGCGAGCAGCUACGGCAGGGCCCCGACCAUGGGCUACUCCACCACGUGCUCGGCUACAGCUCGGUGAGCUCGGUUCUCCGGAGCCGUCGGUACGACGACGAGGACAGCUGA
This 1356-nucleotide ribosomal RNA is filed under the name Triticum aestivum (bread wheat). Its description in RNAcentral is "partial small subunit ribosomal RNA". The record is from RNAcentral. Lineage: Eukaryota; Viridiplantae; Streptophyta; Magnoliopsida; Poales; Poaceae.